RNAcentral lists this long non-coding RNA (2775 nucleotides) under Sus scrofa (pig). RNAcentral describes it as "lncRNA (ENSSSCG00015041910.1)". Lineage: Eukaryota; Metazoa; Chordata; Mammalia; Artiodactyla; Suidae. The record is from RNAcentral.
GCAGCAUAUAGAGGUUCCCAGGACAGGGGUCUAAUCGGAGCUAUAGCUGCCGGCCUAUGCCAGAGCCACAGUAAUGCCAGAUCCUGGCUGUGUCUGCAACCUAUACCACUACUCAUGGCAACACCGGAUCCUUAACCCACUGAGCAAGGCCAGGGAUUGAACCCACGUCCUCCUGGAUGCUAAUCAGGUUCUUCGUUAACGACUGAGCCACAAUGGGAACUCAUAUUCUCUACUUUUUAGAAUGGCAUUUAGGUUAGCAUGAAAGCUGAAAUGAUUUUGGAGGAUUUUAGCCUAAUGCCAACUAUAAGUUUAAUAAUUAUGCCUUCAGAGUAUUGUUGCAUCUGUCUGAAGAAACCUUUUACGCAAAAAUUGAAGCAUCAAGAGAAAACAGAACUGGGAUUUCACUGAGGAUACCAAGAAGAUUGUAUUCUGUUUGGUAAUACUUUUGGCCAAUAAAUUGUUUAUUUUUGUGCUCCUUGCUAAUACUUUUGUCCAAUAAAUGUUUAUUGUACAGGCAAAAUAAAUAAAUGAACAAACAAACUUGGAUUCUUACAGUCCUUAUAGUUCAGUAGUAAAUCACUACAACUGACCAUAGCCAGGAAGUGGUGAAUGCCACAGAAGAGGCAGGCAAUCAAUCUACCCAACCUAAUGACAGGGUCACAGCUUUCUCUUCAUUCUUCAGAAAAAUCAACAAUGUUUUUUUGUAAAACAGCUUUAUUGAGAUAUAAUUAACAUACAAUAAGUGGCACAUAUGUAAAGUCUGCAGUCAGAUAAGUUUUGAUAUACAUGUGUGAAGCCAUAAACAUAAUCAAGAUAAUGAAUGACCUAUCAUUCCCCCAAAUUUGCUUGUGCCUCAUUUGACUCCUGCUUCUCCUUGUCCCUAUCCCAUCCCCAGGCAACCACCGAUCUACUUUCUGUAACUAUUAAUUAAUUUGCAAAUUCUAGAUAAUUAUAAAUGGAAUCAUACAAUAUGUACUCUUGUUUUACCUGGUUUCUUUCCUUCUGCAUAAUUGAAAUUCAUAUAUAGUUGCAUGUAUCAAUACUUAAUUCCUUUUUAUUGUAGAGUAGUAUUCCUUUUUGGGAUAUAUCACAAUUGAUUUAUCGAUUCACAUGUUGUUAGACAUUUGGUUGUUUCCAUUUUUUAAGUUGCUACACAUUCAUGUAGNUUAGGGCUAUACCUGAGGCAUAUGGAGGUUCCCAGGCUAGGGGUCAAAUCAGAGCUGUAGGAGUUCCUAUUGCGGCCCAGGAUCGAACCUAUAUCCUCAUGGAUCCUAAUCAGGUUUGUUAACUGCUGAGCCAUGAAGGGAACUCCUCAUGUAGAAGUCUUUUUAAGGAUAUACAUUUCAUUCCUUUUGGGUAAAUACCUAGGAGUAGAAUGGCUGGUCAUAUAAGGUAUAUGAUUAACUUUAUGAGAAUCUGCUAGACCUUUCUCUAAGUGUUUAUACUAUUUUACAUUCCCACAGGCAACCUAUUAAGAGUCUCAGUUCCUCCACACCCUUUCUAAGACUACUUGAUAUAGUCAUCCUACUGUAUGUGUGUGUGUGUGUGUGUAUAUAUAUAUAUAUAUGUCUCACUGUCAUUUUAAUUUGCAUUUAAUUCAUAUAUAUCACUGUCGUUUUAAUUUGCAUUUAAUUCGCACCCCCUAAUGAUUAAAGAUGCUGACUAUCUUUUCAUGGCACAGCAAUUUUAAGGUGUAAUAUAAUGCUUUUAUUUGUUGAUUGAGAAGAAGGAAUAUGUCCCUACAAUGUGCUUCAGUGUUAGAAACUUUGCUGUUACCUAAAUCAAAGAAUAGUUAUGGUAAGAAAAUAUCAUUAACUAUUGAUUUAAAUGACAUUAAAAAUCCAGAAUAUAUAAAAUAUGCACACUGGUGCAAAUUUGAGUUUAAAAAAAAGAAACUAUGGAAUACUAAGAUUUCAAUUGCUACCUCAGAAUUUCUUUCACUCACCAAGCACUUAUGGACCCACUUCUGUUUCCUGAAUUGCACUGAGAAAAAGUAUUAUCUGUUUCUUUUUCUUCCUUGGCUCUUCUCCUUUUGAAACUCUAUCAUGAAUAGUUUUAAACAAAUUGGUUAAAAUCAUCUACUAUCUACCCUGAAAAGGCAUUGCAGUUUUAUUUUUUAAAAGGGGUCCUAAACCCCUAAUAAACAGAUAUUUUGUGACAACACUGAUUUAUAAAAUAGAGGAAGUUUCUUCUGUACACUAUAGACUUCUCCUUAAAGGAACAUCAUGGAAACAUUUUUGGCUAAAGUUUGCCCAUUCCAGUUUCUUGAGGAAGUUAAGUACUGUAUUGUCAGCAGCAAGAAAUAUGCUGUCAAUUUCAGCUGUCUACUCCAGGGGGAAGGUCAUAUAAUACCAACAUUUGAUCUUCUUAUAAUCAAUUUGAUUUAAUAAAAAAUCAUUGUGUGUACUGUGUGAGGUGCCCCAUGUAAGACUUGAGUCUACUGAGUACAUACUAUGUAUGAGGUUUUACUUACAAACACCUUAUAUGUGUUAUUGCCAAUCUUUACAAUAGUCUUUUUAUAAGCGAUAAACUGAGCUCAGUCUGAUAGAAUAAUUUGGCCAAGUCACAUGGUUCCAUGAUUCAGUAACUUGGCUAAGUUUCCAUGGCAGACAGAGUUCAGGUGAAAUCCUAGGUUUAACAUAUUCCAAAUCCUUUGUUCUUUUCACUGAGCCAAGCUAGUCCCAAGAUACGACCAAAUGCUUUGUAAAUGAUUAAACAAUGUAGGCUCUGUGAUCUAUACUAUAAUUUUUGCCACAAACCUCAUUUGAAUGUAUG